RNAcentral lists this ribosomal RNA (645 nucleotides) under uncultured bacterium. RNAcentral describes it as "bacterial SSU rRNA". It matches the Rfam family "Bacterial small subunit ribosomal RNA", at positions 60 to 684 of the family's 1533-position model. The record is from RNAcentral.
AGUCGAGCGAACAGAUGAGGAGCUUGCUCCUUAAGAUGUUAGCGGCGGACGGGUGAGUAACACGUGGGCAACCUGCCCUAUAGUUUGGGAUAACUCGCGGAAACGUGAGCUAAUACCGAAUAAUACAUUCCAUCUCCUGAUGGGAUGUUGAAAGAUGGUUUUUCGCUAUCGCUAUAGGAUGGGCCCGCGGCGCAUUAGCUAGUAGGUGAGGUAACGGCUCACCUAGGCAACGAUGCGUAGCCGACCUGAGAGGGUGAUCGGCCACACUGGGACUGAGACACGGCCCAGACUCCUACGGGAGGCAGCAGUAGGGAAUCUUCCACAAUGGACGAAAGUCUGAUGGAGCAACGCCGCGUGAGUGAAGAAGGUUUUCGGAUCGUAAAACUCUGUUGUAAGGGAAGAACAAGUACAGUAGUAACUGGCUGUACCUUGACGGUACCUUAUUAGAAAGCCACGGCUAACUACGUGCCAGCAGCCGCGGUAAUACGUAGGUGGCAAGCGUUGUCCGGAAUUAUUGGGCGUAAAGCGCGCGCAGGCGGUCCUUUAAGUCUGAUGUGAAAUCACGUGGCUCAACCACGUGCGGUCAUUGGAAACUGGAGGACUUGAGUGCAGAAGAGGAAAGUGGAAUUCCAAGUGUAGCGGUGA